This 301-nucleotide ribosomal RNA is filed under the name uncultured bacterium. RNAcentral describes it as "partial 16S ribosomal RNA". It matches the Rfam family "Bacterial small subunit ribosomal RNA", at positions 509 to 807 of the family's 1533-position model. The record is from RNAcentral.
CAGCAGCCGCGGUAAUACGGAGGGGGCUAGCGUUGUUCGGAAUUACUGGGCGUAAAGCGCACGUAGGCGGCUUGGUAAGUUAGAGGUGAAAGCCCGGAGCUCAACUCCGGAAUUGCCUUUAAGACUGCCGAGCUAGCAGGUGAGAGAGGUAAGUGGAAUUCCGAGUGUAGAGGUGAAAUUCGUAGAUAUUCGGAAGAACACCAGUGGCGAAGGCGGCUUACUGGCUCAUACUGGACGCUGAGGCACGAAAGCGUGGGGAGCAAACAGGAUUAGAUACCCGCGUAGUCCCUGUCUCUUAUAC